AAAAACGUCACUCUCUUCUCUCCCUCACAAAACCACCAUGAAAGCUCUAUUGUGAGCUUGAAGAACUAAAAAUCCCAUCACAAAAAAAUAGUCUACCAUAUAUAAGACUUGUUUGGGCAACUAGAAAACAAGAUCUAAGGGAAAGAAAGAAAAGAAAACUUGAAGGAAAUGAAGAAGAAAAUUCUGCAUUCAAGGUAAUAAUUCAAACUUCAACCUUUUAGUUUAAUUAAUAUAUUUAUAGCAUAAAGUACUUAUAAAUAUGCUUGAAAUGAAAUGAAAACAUCCUUGGGGGACAAGAGUAAAUUUCGGCUAGCUAGGGUUUGUGAUGGAAAUGCUUGUGUUUUAAUUGAAUUAAUUAUGUUAGAAAGUUUAAUUAAGUGAUGGAGUGAUGUUGGUAUGCUUUGAAUUAGUUAAAUGUAACAAUUAGUGUAGUCAGGGUUUUGGCACCUAGGGUUUGAAAGACAAAAAUUUGGAGAAGUGGUCAAAUGGUGGGUUUGACCUUGUUUGAGGUGAGAAAUGGUCAUUUGUGACCAAUUGGAGUAUGUUAGAAGUGUUGGAACCAAAUGCAAAUUCGGAUUGCUUAGGGUCAUGCUGCAGGCAGCAGGACCAAGGUCCCUUUGAGGGACCA
This 628-nucleotide unclassified non-coding RNA is filed under the name Hevea brasiliensis (rubber tree). The record is from RNAcentral. Lineage: Eukaryota; Viridiplantae; Streptophyta; Magnoliopsida; Malpighiales; Euphorbiaceae.